This is a non-coding RNA of Schistosoma mansoni, 48 nucleotides long. The record is from Rfam. Lineage: Eukaryota; Metazoa; Platyhelminthes; Trematoda; Strigeidida; Schistosomatidae.
AUCCAGCUGACGAGUCCCAAAAAGAACGAAACGCGCGUCACACUGGAU